GUUUGAUUAUGGCUCAGAUUGAACGCUGGCGGCAUGCCUUACACAUGCAAGUCGAACGGCAGCAUAGGAGCUUGCUCCUGAUGGCGAGUGGCGAACGGGUGAGUAAUAUAUCGGAACGUGCCCUAGAGUGGGGGAUAACUAGUCGAAAGAUUAGCUAAUACCGCAUACGAUCUACGGAUGAAAGUGGGGGAUCGCAAGACCUCAUGCUCCUGGAGCGGCCGAUAUCUGAUUAGCUAGUUGGUGGGGUAAAAGCCUACCAAGGCGACGAUCAGUAGCUGGUCUGAGAGGACGACCAGCCACACUGGGACUGAGACACGGCCCAGACUCCUACGGGAGGCAGCAGUGGGGAAUUUUGGACAAUGGGGGCAACCCUGAUCCAGCAAUGCCGCGUGAGUGAAGAAGGCCUUCGGGUUGUAAAGCUCUUUUGUCAGGGAAGAAACGGUUUUGGCUAAUAUCCAGAACUAAUGACGGUACCUGAAGAAUAAGCACCGGCUAACUACGUGCCAGCAGCCGCGGUAAUACGUAGGGUGCAAGCGUUAAUCGGAAUUACUGGGCGUAAAGCGUGCGCAGGCGGUUGUGUAAGACAGAUGUGAAAUCCCCGGGCUCAACCUGGGAAUUGCAUUUGUGACUGCACGGCUAGAGUGUGUCAGAGGGGGGUAGAAUUCCACGUGUAGCAGUGAAAUGCGUAGAUAUGUGGAGGAAUACCGAUGGCGAAGGCAGCCCCCUGGGAUAACACUGACGCUCAUGCACG
Molecule: ribosomal RNA, 751 nt
Filed under: uncultured Herbaspirillum sp.
Lineage: Bacteria; Pseudomonadati; Pseudomonadota; Betaproteobacteria; Burkholderiales; Oxalobacteraceae
Description: bacterial SSU rRNA
Rfam family: Bacterial small subunit ribosomal RNA
Source: RNAcentral